GAGUGAUCUGUCUGCUUAAUUGCGUUUCAUAUUUACGAAUGUCGCUUACGUGAUUGCUGCAGACCUCGUCUCUCUUUAUUGAGAGUGCGACGCGUCUCUUCAACUCACUCGCACAUUCUCUUGAACGCAACGAGCGUGACCGCAACCUCUUGUUGUGUAUACCAAGUGUGUCGUUGCUUGCAACUCUCACUCCAAUGCACGUAUUUUGGUCACAUUGUCCGGCCGUCGCCACAGCC
RNAcentral lists this ribosomal RNA (236 nucleotides) under Hastigerina pelagica. RNAcentral's name for it is "partial 18S ribosomal RNA". Lineage: Eukaryota; Foraminifera; Rotaliida; Hantkeninidae. The record is from RNAcentral.